GCGUUGCUUCGGAAUGACUGGGCGUAAAGGGCGUGUAGGCGGUUUGUACAGUCAGAUGUGAAAUCCCCGGGCUUAACCUGGGAGCUGCAUUUGAGACGUGCAGACUAGAGUGUGAGAGAGGGUUGUGGAAUUCCCAGUGUAGAGGUGAAAUUCGUAGAUAUUGGGAAGAACACCGGUGGCGAAGGCGGCAACCUGGCUCAUUACUGACGCUGAGGCUCGAAAGCGUGGGGAGC
This 233-nucleotide ribosomal RNA is filed under the name uncultured bacterium. RNAcentral describes it as "partial 16S ribosomal RNA". It matches the Rfam family "Bacterial small subunit ribosomal RNA", at positions 538 to 769 of the family's 1533-position model. The record is from RNAcentral.